Molecule: ribosomal RNA, 565 nt
Filed under: uncultured Phormidium sp.
Lineage: Bacteria; Bacillati; Cyanobacteriota; Cyanophyceae; Oscillatoriales; Oscillatoriaceae
Description: bacterial SSU rRNA
Rfam family: Bacterial small subunit ribosomal RNA
Source: RNAcentral
GGUUUUACCGCAAAUGGGCGAAAGCCUGACGGAGCAAGACCGCUGGGGGGAANAAGGGACUCUGGGUUGAAAACCCCUUUUCGUCCUUGGGAAGAAAAGUUGUGAAAAGGCAAACCUGACGGGUACCAGAGGGAAUCAGCAUACGGCUAACUCCGUGCCAGCAGCCGCGGUAAGACGGAGGAUGCAAGCGUUAUCCGGAAUGAUUGGGCGUAAAGCGUCGCAGGUGGCAGUUCAAGUCUGCUGUCAAAGACCGGGGCUUAACUUCGGAAAGGCAGUGGAAACUGAACAGCUAGAGUAUGGUAGGGGCAGAGGGAAUUCCUGGUGUAGCGGUGAAAUGCGUAGAGAUCAGGAAGAACAUCGGUGGCGAAGGCGCUCUGCUGGACCAUAACUGACAACUCAGGGACGAAAGCUAGGGGAGCGAAUGGGAUUAGAUACCCCAGUAGUCCUAGCCGUAAACGAUGGAUACUAGGUGUUGUCUGUAUCGACCCGGACGGUGCCGUAGCUAACGCGUUAAGUAUCCCGCCUGGGGAGUACGCACGCAAGUGUGAAACUCAAAGGAAUUGAC